Molecule: long non-coding RNA, 639 nt
Filed under: Homo sapiens (human)
Lineage: Eukaryota; Metazoa; Chordata; Mammalia; Primates; Hominidae
Description: non-protein coding LINC00963:55
Source: RNAcentral
GGCUUCGAAGCCGGCCGCCUGACCUGGGGCAAGUGCUUUCAACUCUCUGAACUUCGGUUCCUCAUCUGCCAGUUGGCAGACGCUCAGCAAAUCUUCCUAGACUCACGGGGCGAAUUGUACAGUUGGGUAAAUCGAGGCCCAGAGAUGGCAAAAGGACCGUCCAAGGUCGUACAGCCACCCGGAAUUACAAUUCUUUUCUGCCGGGUCACACGCUGUCAUCCACGUGUUACCUAAGAGAGCUUUCCAGCCUGUGCUAAGAAAACUGCCCCACAUCAUCUGCAGUAGGACGGGGGAGUUGGAGCCCUGGUCAGGCCACUCUGCUACUGACCACAGUUUUCUCAUCUCUAAAAAGGCGCAGUAACAAUAUAAUUACCGUAUGCAGUCCCCCAGGAUACAGGGUCAAAGGAGAGCACAACCAUCGCAGUUGGAAGCCCAUGGGGCAGCAGGGCCCAGGACACAGUGAGCAUACAAUAGACAUUAGCUGCUGUGGUGUCUUGAUUUCAAGCCCAGUGCAGAUGCAUCUGACUUACGAAACUUCAGUGACACCUGCUCUGUGCCAGACACUGAAGAUGGAGCAGUGAACAGCACUGACCCAGCCUGUCCUCCUGUUGCCUGCAGGCCAGACGGAGUCUCACUCUG